RNAcentral lists this ribosomal RNA (460 nucleotides) under Paguristes spinipes. RNAcentral's name for it is "partial large subunit ribosomal RNA". It matches the Rfam family "Bacterial large subunit ribosomal RNA", at positions 1930 to 2589 of the family's 2925-position model. The record is from RNAcentral. Lineage: Eukaryota; Metazoa; Arthropoda; Malacostraca; Decapoda; Diogenidae.
GCCGCGGUAUUCCUGACCGUGCGAAGGUAGCAUAAUCAUUAGUCUUUUAAUUGGAGGCUUGUAUGAAUGGUUGGACGAAAAAUAAUCUGUCUCUCGGCUGAAACUUGAAUUUAACAUUUAAGUGAAAAGGCUUAAAUAUAGUAAAAAGACGAUAAGACCCUAUAAAUCUUCACACUAGCUUAAAAUCUAGGACUAAUUAUAAGUAAAAUGUUUUUAGAUUUUCUAUAGUGUUUUGUUGGGGCAACAUAGAUAGCAAGACUUAUCUGUCUACAAAAGUUACAAAAAAUUUUUGAGUGGAGAAAAUAAGAUCCUUUUUAGAGAUUUCAAGAUUAAGUUACUUUAGGGAUAACAGCGUUAUUUUACUUGAGAGUUCAUAUCGAAAGUAGAGUUUGCGACCUCGAUGUUGAAUUAAAAUUUCUCUAUGGUGCAGCCGCUAUAGGAGAGAGUCUGUUCGACUCUU